UACGUAGGGUGCAAGCGUUAUCCGGAAUUAUUGGGCGUAAAGAGCUCGUAGGCGGUUUGUCGCGUCUGCUGUGAAAACUCGAGGCUCAACCUCGAGACGCCGGUGGAAACUGCAAAGCUAGAGUCCGGAAGAGGAGAGUGGAAUUCCUGGUGUAGCGGUGAAAUGCGCAGAUAUCAGGAAGAACACCCGUGGCGAAGGCGGCUCUCUGGGACGGUACUGACGCUGAGACGCGAAAGCGUGGGGAGCGAACAGG
RNAcentral lists this ribosomal RNA (253 nucleotides) under uncultured bacterium. RNAcentral's name for it is "partial 16S ribosomal RNA". It matches the Rfam family "Bacterial small subunit ribosomal RNA", at positions 524 to 776 of the family's 1533-position model. The record is from RNAcentral.